RNAcentral lists this ribosomal RNA (420 nucleotides) under Anolis ophiolepis. Its description in RNAcentral is "partial 16S ribosomal RNA". It matches the Rfam family "Bacterial large subunit ribosomal RNA", at positions 1970 to 2594 of the family's 2925-position model. Lineage: Eukaryota; Metazoa; Chordata; Lepidosauria; Squamata; Anolidae. The record is from RNAcentral.
UGUCUUCUAAAUAAAGACCCGUAUGAAUGGCUAAAUGAGUAUUUAACUGUCUCCUUCAACCAAUCAGUGAAACUGAUCUUUCAGUUAAAAAGCUGAAAUAAUAAAAUAAGACGAGAAGACCCUGUGGAGCUUUAAAUUUUUAUCAAAAUAUUUGACCAAAACUAUUUAUGAAAAAAACUUUUAAGUUGGGGCAACUUUGGAGAAAAAAACAACCUCCAAGAAAGACAAUGUCUUAACAGGCUAACCAGCCGAAACAAAUGACCCAGUCUUACUGAUCAACGAACCAAGUUACCCCAGGGAUAACAGCGCCAUCUUCUUCAAGAGUUCAUAUCGACAAGAAGGUUUACGACCUCGAUGUUGGAUCAGGACACCCAAAUGGUGCAGCCGCUAUUAAAGGUUCGUUUGUUCAACGAUUAAUGU